This 743-nucleotide ribosomal RNA is filed under the name Dibothriocephalus latus. Its description in RNAcentral is "SSU rRNA". It matches the Rfam family "Eukaryotic small subunit ribosomal RNA", at positions 606 to 1194 of the family's 1831-position model. Lineage: Eukaryota; Metazoa; Platyhelminthes; Cestoda; Diphyllobothriidea; Diphyllobothriidae. The record is from RNAcentral.
UAAAUUGCUGCGUUAAAAAGCUCGUAGUUGGAUCUCGGUAUCACUGUCGCCUGCCAGUCCUCGGCUGAUUGUGUCUGUGUGUGUAGGUGGGACCGCGCUCUGCGCGGCACCCCUCGCCCAGGCGCGGUUAUGCUCGAGUUGGCGUGGUGGUGGUGUCACCUUUCAGCCAUGUCUGUGGUGAAAUACCCGCAGGUGUAGGCGAGUGUCAGGCGGUGCUCUGCGACAGUAGGGUCCGUCGGCUCGUUUGCAUGCCUCUGGAUGCCCUUCAAAAGGUGUCUAUGGGCGGAUGGCACGUUUACUUUGAACAAAUUUGAGUGCUCAAACCAGGCCGAUGUUGCCUGAAAAGUUUUGCAUGGAAUAAUGGAAUAGGACUUCGGUUCUAUUUCGUUGGUUUUCGGAUCCGAAGUAAUGAUCAAAAGAGACAGGCGGGGACGUUUGUAUGGUUGCGCUAGAGGUGAAAUUCAUGGACCGUAACCAGACAAACUAAAGCGAAAGCAUUCGUCAAGCAUGUUUUCAUUGGCCAUGAGCGAAAGUCAGAGGCUCGAAGACGAUCAGAUACCGUCCUAGUUCUGACCAUAAACGAUGCCAACUGACGAUCCGUGGUGGUAGUAUUUUAACCAUCCCCACGGGCAGUCCCCGGGAAACCUUUAANUCUUUGGGUUCCGGGGGAAGUAUGGUUGCAAAGCUGAAACUUAAAGGAAUUGACGGAAGGGCACCACCANGANUGGANCCUGCNGCUUAAU